UGAGAAUCUGGGAGCUGUGAUGGUUCAAGGCAUGUCCUGGGCUCGGCCUCUUCCUUGCCUAGCCACCCACAUCCUGUGAGAAGGACUAACUAGGGCAUGUGAGGUUGGAUGCAUUGCUUCACACUCUGCCUGCAGGAUUGGCUCAGAUCUUGGUAGAAUUGUUGAGAAGUGAAAAGGUAUUUGCUGUUGGGAAAGACUGGGAAAUCUAUCGUGUGUUUUUAUGAAGUUCCCAAACCCUGGGACCCAGUUGCAGGAACAAGAUGGGGUCACAGAAGGACCCAGCCCAGCCAGCAUACAGCUUCUGGAUGGGGCUGCUGCUGCUGGUGCCCCAGGGACCUGCAUGCCUUCCCCAGCCUUUGGCUUGCUCCAGGCACUAGGUAAGGAGAAAGCAGGUGCCAGUGGGGGGCUGCAGCUGGGCAGAAGUA
Molecule: long non-coding RNA, 425 nt
Filed under: Crocodylus porosus (Australian saltwater crocodile)
Lineage: Eukaryota; Metazoa; Chordata; Crocodylia; Crocodylidae
Description: lncRNA (ENSCPRG00005003728.1)
Source: RNAcentral